AAUCAACGCUGGCGGCGUGCCUAACACAUGCAAGUCGAACGCGAAAGGGGCUUCGGCUCUGAGUAGAGUGGCGAACGGGUGAGUAACACGUGGGUGAUCUACCUUCGAGUGGGGGAUAACGUCCCGAAAGGGACGCUAAUACCGCAUGACGUUCUGGGUUUAAAGACCUGGAAACCAAAGCCGGGGACCGCAAGGCCUGGCGCUUGAAGAGGAGCCCGCGUCCGAUUAGCUAGUUGGCGGGGUAAUGGCCCACCAAGGCGACGAUCGGUAGCCGGCCUGAGAGGGCGGACGGCCACACUGGGACUGAGACACGGCCCAGACUCUUACGGGAGGCAGCAGUGGGGAAUUGUUCACAAUGGGCGCAAGCCUGAUGACGCAACGCCGCGU
RNAcentral lists this ribosomal RNA (387 nucleotides) under uncultured bacterium. Its description in RNAcentral is "bacterial SSU rRNA". It matches the Rfam family "Bacterial small subunit ribosomal RNA", at positions 29 to 402 of the family's 1533-position model. The record is from RNAcentral.